Molecule: ribosomal RNA, 301 nt
Filed under: uncultured bacterium
Lineage: Bacteria
Description: partial 16S ribosomal RNA
Rfam family: Bacterial small subunit ribosomal RNA
Source: RNAcentral
CAGCCGCCGCGGUAAUACGGAGGGGGCUAGCGUUGUUCGGAAUUACUGGGCGUAAAGCGCGCGUAGGCGGCUUGGUAAGUUAGAGGUGAAAGCCUGGGGCUCAACCCCAGAAUUGCCUUUAAGACUGCCGAGCUAGUAGGUGAGAGAGGUAAGUGGAAUUCCGAGUGUAGAGGUGAAAUUCGUAGAUAUUCGGAAGAACACCAGUGGCGAAGGCGGCUUACUGGCUCAUUCUAGACGCUGAGGUGCGAAAGCGUGGGGAGCAAACAGGAUUAGAUACCCCCGUAGUCCCUGUCUCUUAUAC